This 1910-nucleotide ribosomal RNA is filed under the name Escherichia coli. RNAcentral describes it as "partial 23S ribosomal RNA". It matches the Rfam family "Bacterial large subunit ribosomal RNA", at positions 612 to 2507 of the family's 2925-position model. The record is from RNAcentral. Lineage: Bacteria; Pseudomonadati; Pseudomonadota; Gammaproteobacteria; Enterobacterales; Enterobacteriaceae.
AUAAUGGGUCAGCGACUUAUAUUCUGUAGCAAGGUUAACCGAAUAGGGGAGCCGAAGGGAAACCGAGUCUUAACUGGGCGUUAAGUUGCAGGGUAUAGACCCGAAACCCGGUGAUCUAGCCAUGGGCAGGUUGAAGGUUGGGUAACACUAACUGGAGGACCGAACCGACUAAUGUUGAAAAAUUAGCGGAUGACUUGUGGCUGGGGGUGAAAGGCCAAUCAAACCGGGAGAUAGCUGGUUCUCCCCGAAAGCUAUUUAGGUAGCGCCUCGUGAAUUCAUCUCCGGGGGUAGAGCACUGUUUCGGCAAGGGGGUCAUCCCGACUUACCAACCCGAUGCAAACUGCGAAUACCGGAGAAUGUUAUCACGGGAGACACACGGCGGGUGCUAACGUCCGUCGUGAAGAGGGAAACAACCCAGACCGCCAGCUAAGGUCCCAAAGUCAUGGUUAAGUGGGAAACGAUGUGGGAAGGCCCAGACAGCCAGGAUGUUGGCUUAGAAGCAGCCAUCAUUUAAAGAAAGCGUAAUAGCUCACUGGUCGAGUCGGCCUGCGCGGAAGAUGUAACGGGGCUAAACCAUGCACCGAAGCUGCGGCAGCGACGCUGAUGCGUUGUUGGGUAGGGGAGCGUUCUGUAAGCCUGUGAAGGUGUGCUGUGAGGCAUGCUGGAGGUAUCAGAAGUGCGAAUGCUGACAUAAGUAACGAUAAAGCGGGUGAAAAGCCCGCUCGCCGGAAGACCAAGGGUUCCUGUCCAACGUUAAUCGGGGCAGGGUGAGUCGACCCCUAAGGCGAGGCCGAAAGGCGUAGUCGAUGGGAAACAGGUUAAUAUUCCUGUACUUGGUGUUACUGCGAAGGGGGGACGGAGAAGGCUAUGUUGGCCGGGCGACGGUUGUCCCGGUUUAAGCGUGUAGGCUGGUUUUCCAGGCAAAUCCGGAAAAUCAAGGCUGAGGCGUGAUGACGAGGCACUACGGUGCUGAAGCAACAAAUGCCCUGCUUCCAGGAAAAGCCUCUAAGCAUCAGGUAACAUCAAAUCGUACCCCAAACCGACACAGGUGGUCAGGUAGAGAAUACCAAGGCGCUUGAGAGAACUCGGGUGAAGGAACUAGGCAAAAUGGUGCCGUAACUUCGGGAGAAGGCACGCUGAUAUGUAGGUGAAGUCCCUCGCGGAUGGAGCUGAAAUCAGUCGAAGAUACCAGCUGGCUGCAACUGUUUAUUAAAAACACAGCACUGUGCAAACACGAAAGUGGACGUAUACGGUGUGACGCCUGCCCGGUGCCGGAAGGUUAAUUGAUGGGGUCAGCGCAAGCGAAGCUCUUGAUCGAAGCCCCGGUAAACGGCGGCCGUAACUAUAACGGUCCUAAGGUAGCGAAAUUCCUUGUCGGGUAAGUUCCGACCUGCACGAAUGGCGUAAUGAUGGCCAGGCUGUCUCCACCCGAGACUCAGUGAAAUUGAACUCGCUGUGAAGAUGCAGUGUACCCGCGGCAAGACGGAAAGACCCCGUGAACCUUUACUAUAGCUUGACACUGAACAUUGAGCCUUGAUGUGUAGGAUAGGUGGGAGGCUUUGAAGUGUGGACGCCAGUCUGCAUGGAGCCGGCCUUGAAAUACCACCCUUUAAUGUUUGAUGUUCUAACGUUGACCCGUGAUCCGGGUUGCGGACAGUGUCUGGUGGGUAGUUUGACUGGGGCGGUCUCCUCCUAAAGAGUAACGGAGGAGCACGAAGGUUGGCUAAUCCUGGUCGGACAUCAGGAGGUUAGUGCAAUGGCAUAAGCCAGCUUGACUGCGAGCGUGACGGCGCGAGCAGGUGCGAAAGCAGGUCAUAGUGAUCCGGUGGUUCUGAAUGGAAGGGCCAUCGCUCAACGGAUAAAAGGUACUCCGGGGAUAACAGGCUGAUACCGCCCAAGAGUUCAUAUCG